GACGAACGCUGGCGGCGUGUUUAACACAUGCAAGUCGAGCGAUGAAGCUCCUUCGGGAGCGGAUUAGUGGCGGACGGGUGAGUAACACGUGGGUAACCUGCCUCAUAGAGGGGAAUAGCCUUUCGAAAGGAAGAUUAAUACCGCAUAAGAUUGUAGUGCCGCAUGGCAUAGCAAUUAAAGGAGUAAUCCGCUAUGAGAUGGACCCGCGUCGCAUUAGCUAGUUGGUGAGGUAACGGCUCACCAAGGCGACGAUGCGUAGCCGACCUGAGAGGGUGAUCGGCCACAUUGGGACUGAGACACGGCCCAGACUCCUACGGGAGGCAGCAGUGGGGAAUAUUGCACAAUGGGGGAAACCCUGAUGCAGCAACGCCGCGUGAGUGAUGACGGUCUUCGGAUUGUAAAGCUCUGUCUUCAGGGACGAUAAUGACGGUACCUGAGGAGGAAGCCACGGCUAACUACGUGCCAGCCGCCGCGGUAA
This 478-nucleotide ribosomal RNA is filed under the name uncultured bacterium. Its description in RNAcentral is "partial 16S ribosomal RNA". It matches the Rfam family "Bacterial small subunit ribosomal RNA", at positions 28 to 523 of the family's 1533-position model. The record is from RNAcentral.